CUUGCUUCUCUUGAGAGCGGCGGACGGGUGAGUAAUGCCUAGGAAUCUGCCUGGUAGUGGGGGAUAACGUUCGGAAACGGACGCUAAUACCGCAUACGUCCUACGGGAGAAAGCAGGGGACCUUCGGGCCUUGCGCUAUCAGAUGAGCCUAGGUCGGAUUAGCUAGUUGGUGGGGUAAUGGCUCACCAAGGCGACGAUCCGUAACUGGUCUGAGAGGAUGAUCAGUCACACUGGAACUGAGACACGGUCCAGACUCCUACGGGAGGCAGCAGUGGGGAAUAUUGGACAAUGGGCGAAAGCCUGAUCCAGCCAUGCCGCGUGUGUGAAGAAGGUCUUCGGAUUGUAAAGCACUUUAAGUUGGGAGGAAGGGUUGUAGAUUAAUACUCUGCAAUUUUGACGUUACCGACAGAAUAAGCACCGGCUAACUCUGUGCCAGCAGCCGCGGUAAUACAGAGGGUGCAAGCGUUAAUCGGAAUUACUGGGCGUAAAGCGCGCGUAGGUGGUUUGUUAAGUUGGAUGUGAAAUCCCCGGGCUCAACCUGGGAACUGCAUUCAAAACUGACUGACUAGAGUAUGGUAGAGGGUGGUGGAAUUUCCUGUGUAGCGGUGAAAUGCGUAGAUAUAGGAAGGAACACCAGUGGCGAAGGCGACCACCUGGACUAAUACUGACACUGAGGUGCGAAAGCGUGGGG
Molecule: ribosomal RNA, 691 nt
Filed under: uncultured bacterium
Lineage: Bacteria
Description: bacterial SSU rRNA
Rfam family: Bacterial small subunit ribosomal RNA
Source: RNAcentral